Molecule: non-coding RNA, 114 nt
Organism: Acanthosepion pharaonis
Lineage: Eukaryota; Metazoa; Mollusca; Cephalopoda; Sepiida; Sepiidae
Source: the annotation of a GenBank genome assembly
UUACGGCCACAUCACGUUGAAACACCUGUUCUCGUACGAUCACCGAAGUUAAACAACGUCGAACUGGGUCAGCACCUAGAUGGGCAACCACUUGGGAAUACUAGGUGCUGUAAG